Molecule: ribosomal RNA, 489 nt
Filed under: uncultured bacterium
Lineage: Bacteria
Description: partial 16S ribosomal RNA
Rfam family: Bacterial small subunit ribosomal RNA
Source: RNAcentral
AUUGAACGCUGGCGGCAGGCCUAACACAUGCAAGUCGAACGGUAACAGGAAGAAGCUUGCUUCUUUGCUGACGAGUGGCGGACGGGUGAGUAAUGUCUGGGAAACUGCCUGAUGGAGGGGGAUAACUACUGGAAACGGUAGCUAAUACCGCAUAACGUCGCAAGACCAAAGAGGGGGACCUUCGGGCCUCUUGCCAUCGGAUGUGCCCAGAUGGGAUUAGCUAGUAGGUGGGGUAACGGCUCACCUAGGCGACGAUCCCUAGCUGGUCUGAGAGGAUGACCAGCCACACUGGAACUGAGACACGGUCCAGACUCCUACGGGAGGCAGCAGUGGGGAAUAUUGCACAAUGGGCGCAAGCCUGAUGCAGCCAUGCCGCGUGUAUGAAGAAGGCCUGCGGGUUGUAAAGUACUUUCAGCGGGGAGGAAGGGAGUAAAGUUAAUACCUUUGCUCAUUGACGUUACCCGCAGAAGAAGCACCGGCUGACUCCGU